UCUGCUGGUCAAAUCAUCUGUCCUCUAUGA
RNAcentral lists this non-coding RNA (30 nucleotides) under Homo sapiens (human). Lineage: Eukaryota; Metazoa; Chordata; Mammalia; Primates; Hominidae. The record is from RNAcentral.